This is a long non-coding RNA of Solanum pennellii, 672 nucleotides long. RefSeq lists it as uncharacterized. The record is from RefSeq and is a predicted model, not a curated record. The transcript is spliced from 3 exons. Lineage: Eukaryota; Viridiplantae; Streptophyta; Magnoliopsida; Solanales; Solanaceae.
CAAAUGCAGAUUUCUGGACCCAUCGGUCUUCCAUCUUCUAGAACCAUCCGUCUUACAUCUUUCGUCUUUCACACUCCAAACAACAGAUUUCCAACUCAUUUUCCAAGCACCCUUCAUUUCAUCCCUUUUGUUCCAACUUCAGUAAAUCGAUUCACAAGUUUUCAUAAUUCCAGUGAUGAUGAUGCAGGGCUACAAAAACAGAAGUCUCCAAAUUCGGAUGGUCAGCUAGAUGCUUAAGUAACAAGGGAAACCUAAUAUCACUGGAAGUUGCUUUUGAAGCUUUUGCCAGUGUAGUUUCUUAAUCUUUCAUAAAGAUUAUCUUUGGAAUUGCAAUAUCCUUUAAUAAUACAGAAGGCAUAUAAUAUAUACAUACAUCUGGCCUAAGUGUUUUACCAUCGUCUUCCACUGCAAGUGUCUUUGUAAUCUAGAGCAAAGAUGGUUGUGCCAAGUUCAAGAAGUGCACUUCAAUUGAACAAUAACAUUCUACGGACUACUUCAAUUGGAUAAAUCUCGAGCUACAUGUGUCAGAUAGAAAUAGUUUCAUAUCAUGACGGACAUGCAUUCAGUUUUUAGCUUUUUAGUUUUUGUAAACAUGUUUGUAAUUACGAUCCAAGUAUGAGUAAUGAAGAUAAUGUUUGCAUGUACCACUAAAAUAACUUGGGUACAUAAUCA